Long non-coding RNA from Cercocebus atys (sooty mangabey), 447 nucleotides. RefSeq lists it as uncharacterized. Lineage: Eukaryota; Metazoa; Chordata; Mammalia; Primates; Cercopithecidae. The record is from RefSeq and is a predicted model, not a curated record. The transcript is spliced from 4 exons.
CUGUCGUCCCUAUAAAUGUGACUUAUUCCUCCUUGCCUUCUACCAUGAUCGUGAAGCCUCUCCAGUCAUGUGAAACUGUAAGAAAAUAAUUGUUUCAAAUUUGGGACAAAUGGGGUACCUUUGAAGAGCAAGCAAUGAAAGCUUAGAUGUUGGUAUACUACAAAUGAAAAAAGCCCGGCUUCUUGUCUUCUACCCUGAACCAAAUCCAAAGGUUAUUUCUGAAUAUCUUCCACGUGCUAGGAACUAGGAUGCAGCAGUGAAUAAGAUACGGCUUCCUGUUCUUCCCUACGUCAGACCAUACUCUCAAGAACUUGAAAGAUUUCAUCUUUUUGGUAACCCAGGAGAGCAAAACAGACAAGAGUUGUAUCUACUAAAAAAGACAUCAUUUGGGAAGAAAUUUCCAGGAACUACUCUCUACUGGUCUGUUGAAUCAUGAAGUGCACAGCU